GGAUUAGAUACCCUGGUAGUCCACGCCGUAAACGAUGUCUACUAGUUGUUGGGGGACUUGAUUCCUUAGUAACGAAGCUAACGCGAUAAGUAGACCGCCUGGGGAGUACGGCCGCAAGGUUAAAACUCAAAUGAAUUGACGGGGGCCCGCACAAGCGGUGGAGCAUGUGGUUUAAUUCGAUGCAACGCGAAGAACCUUACCUACUCUUGACAUCCAGAGAACUUAGCAGAGAUGCUUUGGUGCCUUCGGGAACUCUGAGACAGGUGCUGCAUGGCUGUCGUCAGCUCGUGUCG
RNAcentral lists this ribosomal RNA (293 nucleotides) under uncultured bacterium. RNAcentral describes it as "partial 16S ribosomal RNA". It matches the Rfam family "Bacterial small subunit ribosomal RNA", at positions 775 to 1067 of the family's 1533-position model. The record is from RNAcentral.